This is a long non-coding RNA of Hyaena hyaena (striped hyena), 323 nucleotides long. RefSeq lists it as uncharacterized. The transcript has 3 exons. Lineage: Eukaryota; Metazoa; Chordata; Mammalia; Carnivora; Hyaenidae. The record is from RefSeq and is a predicted model, not a curated record.
CUGCCAAAGAAUGAGGAUAUUAGUGAAGAUGACACUGAUGUGAAGGGGGCAGAUUUCCCAAAUGUGGAGCCCAUGCAAAUGCCUGAAGCAGGGCCUGAAAUGAAAGCUGAUACCCAGGAACUGGCUCAGCCACAACCUGAGGGUCAAAAGGAAGAUGGUCCUGUUGGGAGGCAGUGAAUUUUUAGAUCUAAAGCCCAUUAAAAUGCCAGAAGUAGGUGAAGGGCACAGAUUUAAACAAAGACAAGCUGAAACCUUGCAAACUGCUCUUAGGUUACCUAUUUGACUAUUAAAAUUCUCAAUAAAGUUUUAAACUAUCCAAAAAA